UUUUGAACCAAUUAUUUUUUGAAAACUUUAAGCUUUGGUAUGUUUAAUUUUGAAGGUAUAUGGAUACCUCUUUAAUUGACGUUGAUGUGCAGCCAAUGUAUGUACGAGUAAUGGUGAAAGGAAAGCCCUUUCAGCUCGUCCUUCCUGCAGAAGUUAAACCUGACAGCAGCUCUGCUAAAAGGUCACAGACGACAGGACAUUUGGUAAUCUGCAUGCCCAAGGUAGAAGAAAUAAUCACAGGUAGCCGGCAAACAGCCAAGUCUGUGAAGCCCAUGUUGGAUGGCAACAGAGAACAGAUGCGUACCAGUUGUAGAAGAAAGCAAGUUGAAAAACUGGAAGUAGACCCUGGCAAGUACUCAUUCCCUGAUGUGACAUCCAUAGUUCAAGAGAACAAGCACACAUCCAGAAGACUGCGAUCUGAACCCCAAAUUGUAUCAAAUGAGGAAGACCCAGCCUUUGAAGAUAAUCCUGAAGUCCCUCCACUGAUGUGAAGCACGAGGCUGUGGUGGUGUUUCUGUGACCUACUACUCAAUGCAGGGAGUAGUUGCAUGACAUUUAUAGGAUAAACAGAUUCAUCCUUGUUAUCACUUUAAUGCUUUUCCUUCUC
Molecule: long non-coding RNA, 607 nt
Filed under: Cavia porcellus (domestic guinea pig)
Lineage: Eukaryota; Metazoa; Chordata; Mammalia; Rodentia; Caviidae
Description: lncRNA (ENSCPOG00000038874.1)
Source: RNAcentral